AGGGAACUGUUGCUGCUGAUAUA
RNAcentral lists this microRNA (23 nucleotides) under Drosophila ananassae. RNAcentral's name for it is "Dan-Mir-2-P6b_5p* (star (passenger))". The record is from RNAcentral. Lineage: Eukaryota; Metazoa; Arthropoda; Insecta; Diptera; Drosophilidae.